CUCCUCCACCUAUCUCUCUGCCGCUCGCCUUUCUGCUGCCAUAUACUGUCCCCCUCCACCUCUUUUUUCGCCUACCUAUCCGCCGCUGCAUGUUGCCCUCUUUCUCCACCAAUCUCUUCAUCACUUGGGCUCACCGCCGUAUACUGACCCCUUCUUCCUUCACUCACCUUCCUUGUCGUUGCCCAUUGCCAACCCUCUCCUCCUCCUCCAUUCACAUCUCCUCUACUUGGGUCGCUCAUUGAGCU
This 245-nucleotide long non-coding RNA is filed under the name Elaeis guineensis (African oil palm). RNAcentral's name for it is "long non-coding RNA (EGUI_LNC022325)". Lineage: Eukaryota; Viridiplantae; Streptophyta; Magnoliopsida; Arecales; Arecaceae. The record is from RNAcentral.